UACAGAGGUCUCAAGCGUUGUUCGGAUUCAUUGGGCGUAAGGGUGUGUAGGUGGCGCCGUAAGUCGGGUGUGAAUUCGGAGCUUAACUCGAAACUGCAUUCGAUACUGCGGUGCUUGAGGACUGGAGAGGAGUACUGGAAUUCAUGGUGUAGCAGUGAAAUGCGUAGAGAAUCAUGAGGAAGACCAGUGGCGAAGGCGGGUCUCGUGGACAGUUCCUGACACUGGAGACACGAAGGCCAGGGAGCAAACGGG
This 252-nucleotide ribosomal RNA is filed under the name uncultured bacterium. RNAcentral describes it as "partial 16S ribosomal RNA". It matches the Rfam family "Bacterial small subunit ribosomal RNA", at positions 524 to 776 of the family's 1533-position model. The record is from RNAcentral.